GUCAUACUACGGCGCAACGCCCUAUAAAGUAAACGAUGACCCUUCGGGAACUUCAGGGUAAAAUGACUAUCAAAAUGUGAAUUGUAGCUGACCUGGACUUGUACCCGGGGCGGUAUUUUUU
Shigella dysenteriae Sd197 is the source of this 121-nucleotide regulatory RNA element. It matches the Rfam family "Enterobacteria greA leader". Lineage: Bacteria; Pseudomonadati; Pseudomonadota; Gammaproteobacteria; Enterobacterales; Enterobacteriaceae. The record is from Rfam.